This 405-nucleotide ribosomal RNA is filed under the name Ornithodoros turicata. RNAcentral's name for it is "partial 12S ribosomal RNA". The record is from RNAcentral. Lineage: Eukaryota; Metazoa; Arthropoda; Arachnida; Ixodida; Argasidae.
AAACUAGGAUUAGAUACCCUAUUAUUAAUAUAAGCUGAAAUUGGAGAAUUUUAGGUAUUAAAUCUUAAGAUUAUGGCGGUAUUCUAAGCUUUUAGAGGAAUUCAUUCUUUGAUUGAUAAAACUCAAAAAUCUUACUUAAUUUUGUUAGGCAGUUUGUAUAUCGCUAUCAUUUAUAAUUAUACUAUUUGGUUAUGAUUUUAAUUAUUUUAUUUUAAAAAUGUUAGGUCAAAAUGCAGUGUAAAAUUAAGGUUGAAAUGGGUUACAUUUAUUGAUAUAUGUGGAUUUGAAAUAUUAUUAAGGAUUUAAUAGUAAGUUAAAAUUAUAAUGUUUAACUGAAAGAAGCUCUAGGAUAUACACAUAUCGCCGUCGCUCUCACUUGAGAUAGCGAGAUAAGUCGUAACAUAG